Molecule: ribosomal RNA, 557 nt
Filed under: uncultured Methylobacterium sp.
Lineage: Bacteria; Pseudomonadati; Pseudomonadota; Alphaproteobacteria; Hyphomicrobiales; Methylobacteriaceae
Description: bacterial SSU rRNA
Rfam family: Bacterial small subunit ribosomal RNA
Source: RNAcentral
ACGGGUGAGUAACACGUGGGAACGUACCCUUCGGUUCGGAAUAACGCUGGGAAACUAGCGCUAAUACCGGAUACGCCCCUAUGGGGAAAGGUUUACUGCCGAAGGAUCGGCCCGCGUCUGAUUAGCUAGUUGGUGGGGUAAUGGCCUACCAAGGCGACGAUCAGUAGCUGGUCUGAGAGGAUGAUCAGCCACACUGGGACUGAGACACGGCCCAGACUCCUACGGGAGGCAGCAGUGGGGAAUAUUGGACAAUGGGCGCAAGCCUGAUCCAGCCAUGCCGCGUGAGUGAUGAAGGCCUUAGGGUUGUAAAGCUCUUUUGUCCGGGACGAUAAUGACGGUACCGGAAGAAUAAGCCCCGGCUAACUUCGUGCCAGCAGCCGCGGUAAUACGAAGGGGGCUAGCGUUGCUCGGAAUCACUGGGCGUAAAGGGCGCGUAGGCGGCCAUUCAAGUCGGGGGUGAAAGCCUGUGGCUCAACCACAGAAUUGCCUUCGAUACUGUUUGGCUUGAGUAUGGCAGAGGUCAGUGGAACUGCGAGUGUAGAGGCGAAAUUCGUAGA